AACCAAAACCGCUUUGCUGAUCCGACCCGCGAACUUAACUGAUCCCUACCCCGAUCUCCGUCGGUCUUCCCCCAACGAGACGACGACUGGAUCUCCGUCGGUCUUCCCCCAAAGAGAACGAGACGACGACUGGCUCUCGUCGUCGCCCGACCGCGGUGCCGAACGACAAUGGUGUACAAAUUACAGUGAAGUCGGUAGACUUCGGGAGCUACUAGGCAACGGACUAUCCUAGAGUAGUGCUUCAUCUAGGUGUGAUCCAAGAGUGGGUGGAUGAAUGUCGAUUGCCAAAGGAGCGAACAAAAUCAAAGAUGGAAGAGACUCUGCGAUGUAUUGGCAGAGGCCACACAUGGAGGGUUCACAAUUCGAGUUCUAUCUCAUAAGGAUCAAAAUGCAAUAGAGAUGUCACGCGACAUAGUCCUGGGAGGGAUAAUGACAUAUUAAGAAAAAUACAUAUGUUUGAUUUCAUUUUAUUAUACUAUCAUUAAAUGUAAAUAUUUUUUAUUUUUAUAAUUAUGAAAGAUCAUCAUAAAUUACAAGACAUAUUGAUAUCAAA
Molecule: long non-coding RNA, 553 nt
Organism: Musa acuminata AAA Group (dessert banana)
Lineage: Eukaryota; Viridiplantae; Streptophyta; Magnoliopsida; Zingiberales; Musaceae
Exons: 2
Source: RefSeq, a predicted model, not a curated record